UGAACUUGGCAAUUAAAUCAAAUGUGCAGUCUAUGCGCGUGCGCAGAACUCCGACUCCUCCCACCAAGUUUUCAACCAGUUUGCAUCUGGAUCAGUUCAUCCAUUGGCUGGUUAAUUGUUUUGGCGCGAUUUACAUGAUCACGACAGCUUCUCGCGUCAUCUGAUUGGUUGAUUUGAGUCAGGUUCACGGGAUACUUUGGAUUCGAAAACUAUAUUCCCGCCCAGGAUUCUUCUCGUCUCUUCUUCAACGGCUGUUUUUAGAAGUCCUCCAAUCCACCAUCAGCGAGACCGAACUCCUCCAGUCCAGCUACAGAUAAGCUGCUGACCCAUUUCAGAGGAGGAACAUUGGCCAUGACCCAAAAGGACCACUAAAUCCUCAACUUUUUCUUGACACUUCUGCGGUGAGAAAAAUUCCCUAACAAAAAAAACGGUCAUAUCCAGAGAUGGCUUCAGCUUGCUCCGGAUUGGGAUGGAGGAAGAAGAGAACGGCUGAAGAGAAAGGAGAUGAUAAAUAGCUGUGCCUCUCAUUUAGAGCCUCAAUAGCUUAUGCGUGCGAACACAUACGAAAUACAUUCAUUUCCUUUUCAUGUGCACACACGCAGUUAUGUGUUAUGUUGUUUAUAAAGUUUAAUUUUGUCUUUCUUUGGUUUAUAACGUUUUCAUUUAGUCCGUAUUCGGUUUCAUUUUUUCAAGUGUUAAGGUACUGUUCAUUUAAAGUCUAAAGGUUUCCGUUUUACAUAAAAAUAUGUUCAACACAAUGUGUUCACUUUAUUUUUAUUUGUAAAUAAAAAAUGUUUAUUGAAAAACAA
Molecule: long non-coding RNA, 809 nt
Organism: Triplophysa dalaica
Lineage: Eukaryota; Metazoa; Chordata; Actinopteri; Cypriniformes; Nemacheilidae
Exons: 3
Source: RefSeq, a predicted model, not a curated record